GUUAAGGCGAUCUGGCUGUGACAUCUAUCACCCCAUUGAACGCCAGGGUUGAUUUGGCUGAUCUGGCUGGCUAGGCGGGUGUCCCCUUCCUCCCUCACCACAUGUGCGUCCCUCUCGAAGCUGCGCUAAACAACCAUCCCUGCUAGAGGAGGACCGGUCUUCGGUCAAGGGUAAACAAGUAGCUGCGCUCCCCUGCUAGAACUUCCAAACAAAUUCUCAAGGAAUAAUAGACCCCAAGGCAGCAUUUCCAAGUUGAUAUCUCAGAGCUACUGAGUGGGCCUGGCACAUAGCUCAUUGGCUAAAUCC
Unclassified non-coding RNA from Ochotona princeps (American pika), 306 nucleotides. Its record names the gene 7SK. It matches the Rfam family "7SK RNA". Rfam says of the family: 7SK was discovered as an abundant small nuclear RNA in the mid-70s but a possible function has only recently been suggested. Two independent studies have found that 7SK RNA binds the CDK9/cyclin T complex (known as elongation factor P-TEFb). The record is from Ensembl. NCBI's taxonomy places the organism in Eukaryota, Metazoa, Chordata, Mammalia, Lagomorpha, Ochotonidae.